Molecule: ribosomal RNA, 460 nt
Filed under: uncultured bacterium
Lineage: Bacteria
Description: partial 16S ribosomal RNA
Rfam family: Bacterial small subunit ribosomal RNA
Source: RNAcentral
CCUACGGGCGGCAGCAGUGAGGAAUAUUGGUCAAUGGCCGUAAGACUGAACCAGCCAAGUAGCGUGAGGGAAGAAUGUCCUAUGGGUUGUAAACCUCUUUUAUCCGGGGACAAAGGCGUCGACGUGUGGCCGUUUGCAGGUACCGGAAGAAUAAGCAUCGGCUAACUCCGUGCCAGCAGCCGCGGUAAUACGGAGGGUCCGGGCGUUAUCCGGAUUUAUUGGGUUUAAAGGGUGCGUAGGCCGGUCUUUAAGUGUGCGGUGAAAUUUCGUGGCUCAACCACGAGAGUGCGGCGGGACCUGGAGGCCUCGAGUGGGCGGAAGGCAGGCGGAAUGCGUGGUGUAGCGGUGAAAUGCUUAGAUAUCGCGAAGAACCCCGAUUGCGAAGGCAGCCUGCCGGAGCGAUACUGACGCUGAGGCUCGAAAGCGCGGGUAUCGAACAGGAUUAGAUACCCUAGUAGUC